This 446-nucleotide ribosomal RNA is filed under the name uncultured bacterium. RNAcentral describes it as "partial 16S ribosomal RNA". It matches the Rfam family "Bacterial small subunit ribosomal RNA", at positions 338 to 795 of the family's 1533-position model. The record is from RNAcentral.
CCUACGGGAGGCAGCAGUCGAGAAUCAUUCACAAUGGGGGAAACCCUGAUGGUGCGACGCCGCGUGGGGGAAUGAAGGUCUUCGGAUUGUAAACCCCUGUCAUGUGGGAGCAAAUUAAAAAGAUAGUACCACAAGAGGAAGAGACGGCUAACUCUGUGCCAGCAGCCGCGGUAAUACAGAGGUCUCAAGCGUUGUUCGGAAUCACUGGGCGUAAAGCGUGCGUAGGCUGUUUCGUAAGUCGUGUGUGAAAGGCGCGGGCUCAACCCGCGGACGGCACAUGAUACUGCGAGACUAGAGUAAGGGAGGGGGAACCGGAAUUCUCGGUGUAGCAGUGAAAUGCGUAGAUAUCGAGAGGAACACUCGUUGCGAAGGCGGGUUCCUGGACAUUAACUGACGCUGAGGCACGAAGGCCAGGGGAGCGAAAGGGAUUAGAUACCCGUGUAGUC